GCUGGGUACAGUGGUGCAUGCCUGUGAUCCCAGCGGCUCAGGAGGCUGAGACAGGAGGACUGUGAGUUCAAAACCAGCCUCAGCAAAAUCGAGGCCCUAAGCAACUUAGUGAGACCCUGUCUCUA
RNAcentral lists this small RNA (125 nucleotides) under Marmota monax (woodchuck). The record is from RNAcentral. Lineage: Eukaryota; Metazoa; Chordata; Mammalia; Rodentia; Sciuridae.